GCUGGGCGCUGUGGUGCUUGCCUGCAAUCCCAGAGACUCAGGAGGCUGAGGCAGGAGGAUCAUGUGUUCAAAGCCAACCUUGGCAACUUAACGAGGCCCUAAGCAACUCAGCAAGACCCUGUCUCUA
RNAcentral lists this small RNA (127 nucleotides) under Marmota monax (woodchuck). Lineage: Eukaryota; Metazoa; Chordata; Mammalia; Rodentia; Sciuridae. The record is from RNAcentral.